Molecule: long non-coding RNA, 290 nt
Filed under: Elaeis guineensis (African oil palm)
Lineage: Eukaryota; Viridiplantae; Streptophyta; Magnoliopsida; Arecales; Arecaceae
Description: long non-coding RNA (EGUI_LNC059996)
Source: RNAcentral
GAAGAUCGGCACAGCUUAGAAAAAGUACAAGAAGAAAGGAGAAGCAGCAAAAAAAAAAAAAUGAACGGAGUCAGAAUGCUAGGAAUGGUGUCUGGUACAGAAAUCGGACGAGGUUCAUCUACGGAACUAAGAUUUUGGGGGACUGAAAUGGAUGAACUCCUAGAACUGCUACAGGAGAAAGUGUUGAAGGACAUUUUGAAUCAAGAGAAAAUUCUAAAAAAUUCUGAAAAAAUUAAAAAAAAUAAGAAACAAAGCGCUCGUGGAGAAACCGAACGGGCGUAAUGCGAAGG